Molecule: ribosomal RNA, 481 nt
Filed under: uncultured soil bacterium
Lineage: Bacteria
Description: bacterial SSU rRNA
Rfam family: Bacterial small subunit ribosomal RNA
Source: RNAcentral
AGAAUCAACGCUGGCGGCGUGCCUCAGACAUGCAAGUCGAACGAUUAAAGCUCCCUUCGGGGAGUGCAUAAAGUGGCGCACGGGUGAGUAACACGUAAGUAAUCUACCCUCGGGUGGGGAAUAACGUCCGGAAACGGACGCUAAUACCGCAUAAUGCAGCGGCACCGCAAGGUGACAGUUGUUAAAGAUUUAUUGCCUGGGGAGGAGCUUGCGGCAGAUUAGCUUGUUGGUAAGGUAACGGCUUACCAAGGCUACGAUCUGUAUCCGGUCUAAGAGGACGGUCGGACACACUGACACUGAAUAACGGGUCAGACUCCUACGGGAGGCAGCAGUCGGGAAUUUGGCAAUGGAGGAACCUGACCCAGCAACGCGCGUGAAGGAUGAAGUAUUUCGGUAUAGUAAACUUACGAAAGAAUAAGGAAGAAUUAAUAGAACGUUACUAAUUUAAUAAGGUCCGACUAACUACGUGACCAGCAGCCGC